ACCUGUUUGAUCCUGCCUUACCUCAUAUGCUUGUCUCAAAGAUUAAUCCUUGCUUGUCUAACCCAAUCGACUUUGACCGGAGAAACUGCCGAUGGCUCAUUAUAUCAGUCAUGAUUUCCAUGAAGAUUACUUUACUCCCUGGAUAACCGUACUAAUUCUCCAGCUAACACGUGCAGUAAAAUCCCGACUCUUGCGGGGAGGGAUGUAUUUAUAUAGAAAAAAACCAAUGCGGGUUCUGCCCGGCUUUGUGGUGAUUCCUAAUAACUGUUCGCCUCACAUGGCCUUGCGCCUGGGAUACCUCAUUCAAAUUGCUGCCCUAUCAGCUUUCCACCGCAGUGUCGAGCACUACCGUGGCAUUGACGGCUGACUGAUAAUUAGGGAUCGAUUCCGGAAAGGGAGACUGAGAAACGGCUACCACAUCCAAGGAAGGCAGCAGGCGCGCAAAUUACCCAAUCCUGACACAGGGAGGUAAUGACAAGAAAUAUCAAUACCGGGCCUUCUUAGGUCUGGUAAUUGGAAUGAGCACGAUUUCACUCCCUCAGCGAGGAUCAACUGGAGG
This 559-nucleotide ribosomal RNA is filed under the name uncultured microeukaryote. Its description in RNAcentral is "bacterial SSU rRNA". It matches the Rfam family "Eukaryotic small subunit ribosomal RNA", at positions 1 to 554 of the family's 1831-position model. The record is from RNAcentral.